UAUAAUGCCAACAGCUGAAAACAACCAAAAUGAACAAGAGAAUCAACAUGAGAACCGCGGUGUGUUACAACUGCUACAGAGCAAUGAAAAGGAACAAACCACGAUUACACCAAUGAGGAUGAGGCUCCCAGACUUAAUGCUACCAUUUGUCAAACCGACUACGUGGCAAGCACUGUGCUAAAAACUGGUCUCUGAAGUAUUAUUCCACAAGUACAGACUGAACAUGAACGUGGGGCGAACCCUUCACAAGACACAGGGUAUCUCCUCAUCACUCACUGUCCCGUGAAGCUCACAUCUUCUUAGAGGAACAGAGUAAGAGCUAUGGAGAAGAGCAGCAUGGAGGUAGCGAUAAACCACUUGCCGGAAAUUACACAGAAGCGUGGAUUCUUUGGGUGUCUCUCAUGGGCCCUGCCUGGCAACACGGUAGAUGGUAGCAAACAUCAGUCCAGUGAACGAAUACCACUGGAUACUCACAAGAUCCUAUAAGGUACCUGCUGAUACAAACAGCUGCGGUGAGGCUGAGCACCAGGCCCACGUCGCAGGAGGCACGGAGGGUGGCACCCAUGCACACCCUCCAGGGUAGAGCGCUCUCUCCCCUAAGGCUCAGUCGCUGCCACCGCCCUUCCCUUGUGCCACCACGUGGAUUUAAAACCCACGCGGCCACCCGGCUCCUGCCCCUCUUCCGCCAUUGGGCAAGGCCGCCCGCACUUGUGUCCAAUCGAAUAGGGGCUCCCAGAAUGCAAACUUGGGAUUGGCUCGUCCGCUGUGUCAUUUCGUGCUGCUCCUGACGUCAGCGGUGUCUGGCACCCCCGCCUCUUCCGCGUCUUAACUGGAGUUAAAGGAGCCGCACGGGAGAAGACGUGCAUGUUGCUUCAGAGGCACUUUCAAGUAACCUUUAAAUGUUUUUUUAAAAAAUAACGUUAAUUGUAAAAAAUACAGCAAACCAUAUAAGAGAAAUGUUAAUUUCACUUAAUCCAUUACAUAAAACUAGCUGCUGUUAACAUUUUGGCAUGUAUCAUUUAGUCUUUUUUUCUAAUAAUAUAAUUUUAUUUGUACAAAACUGGGAUCAGUUCUGAAGCCCAUUUUAAAAUUUACUUUAAAAGAAGUCCAAGAAGGGCUUCUUUCUAUAUUGUCAAAUAAUCUUUGAAAGCAUGUUUUAAACAGUUGUGUUAUAUUUGGUCUUCAUGAUUCAACCAAUCCCUUAUAUUUUUUUCUUAAUUUCAUUGAAUUUUGCUUUUCCAAAUGAAAAUAAAUAGGAUCAAGUUCUCUGA
Bubalus bubalis (water buffalo) is the source of this 1271-nucleotide long non-coding RNA. RefSeq lists it as uncharacterized. NCBI's taxonomy places the organism in Eukaryota, Metazoa, Chordata, Mammalia, Artiodactyla, Bovidae. The transcript is spliced from 2 exons. The record is from RefSeq and is a predicted model, not a curated record.